AGCGAACGCUGGCGGCAGGCUUAACACAUGCAAGUCGAGCGGGCACUUUCGGGUGUCAGCGGCGGACGGGUGAGUAACGCGGGGGAACGUGCCCUCUGGUUCGGAAUAACUCAGGGAAACUUGAACUAAUACCGGAUACGCCCCUUUGGGGAAAGGCUUGCUGCCGGAGGAUCGGCCCGCGUCUGAUUAGCUAGCUGGUGAGGUAACGGCUCACCAAGGCGACGAUCAGUAGCUGGUCUGAGAGGAUGAUCAGCCACACUGGGACUGAGACACGGCCCAGACUCCUACGCGAGGCAGCAGUGGGGAAUAUUGGACAAUGGGCGCAAGCCUGAUCCAGCCAUGCCGCGUGAGUGAUCAAGGCCUUAGGGUUGUAAAGCUCUUUUAUCCGGGACGAUAAUGACGGUACCGGAGGAAUAAGCCCCGGCUAACUUCGUG
Molecule: ribosomal RNA, 435 nt
Filed under: uncultured bacterium
Lineage: Bacteria
Description: partial 16S ribosomal RNA
Rfam family: Bacterial small subunit ribosomal RNA
Source: RNAcentral